CCCGCCCUGUGGACUUUGGCCCGCUCUGUGGAAAGCCCCGGACAAGGGGCGAGUCCCUCUGCCUCCUCACAGUUACAUGUAGUAAAUAAAGAGAAGCCCCCGAUGCUGAGCACCCAUUGGACUGGCUUUAAGAGGGAACUGGAGAAAUACGGCAGGAAGAAGCUAGCAGUGGCUAUGGAAUUCACUCCCCAAAGAGGUCCGCCUGGCACCGUCAUUACUGGUUUUUCGGCGCCAGAUGCUGAAAUUCUAGAGAGCAUCCCCCAAACCCAGGGGUCACAAUGGGGGGGNGGGGGGGAGCUGUAGCAGUUGGUGGGUUUGCCAGGUAGAAAUCUCCUCUUUCAGCCAUAGCAAAUGCCCGCAAAAGUAACCCCUUUGUUUUCUGUUCACGGAAUCCCGUCUCAGUCAAAAGAAUGUUUAACAAGCCCCAGAACAGGACGAAUGGCCAUGACAUGUCCCAGAUGAAGAAUGGACUUACUGAGAUUUUUACUGAUUCAUACAAAACUUUCAAUGUUUUAUUUAUUUACAGUAUUGGUAUGCCUCCUCCAUAACAGUUUUCUCUGGGCAGCUCACGACGUUAAAAAAUAAUCACUUUGCAACAAGACAAAAGGCAAGCCUUGCAAGCACAAGAAAAGCGAAACUGUCCACUGUAAGCCCUAAGUGUUUUCUUUUUUAAAAAACAAACCUCUCAUACAUUUAGAUAAAAAUCUAGAAGAAGAAUGGUGUUCAGUGAGAGCAAAGGUCGAAUGUUCUUCCCCACCUUGGUCAAAUAAUGUUGGAAAAUACACAAGUCAUGCAUCCCUCCCUCCCACACUCCUCAGCUGUUUCCUGAUACUGGACUUCAUAUACAACCACCCUAAAUCCUUGCCACAGUUGACUUUCCAAGUUUAAGCCUUAAAAAAAAUUCUUGCUCUUGCAAAGCACUAGCCUCUCUGUAAUUCCCAGUGCUGCAGGACUUGCUGUCCUUCGAACGAGAGGGCACUGAAGGCGAAGAGGGUCGCUGCCGCAUCGGUUUAUUUACAAAAUUCAUGGGAACCAUAUUAGGAGCAAGAAGGCUGACAAAACUUAGCUGGCAAGACCUCGGACCCAUCUGUCAGGUUCCCAGAGAGAGGAGUUUCGUCUAAGGAUGUUUCGCUUGCGGCCAGCUCCAGAGAGAACCCCAGGCUCAGCUGGGGACCCAGUUCGCAACGGUAAACAUCCCUUCCCUUCUCUCUUCCCCUUCCCCCAUAGCUGGUGGGGGUCACAAUCCGGAGGCUGGAACUAUCGAGGAACGUCCAUCCCCUUCGCUAAGCUUUAGGUCACCCAUCAGGCUAGGCAGGCCGGGCAUAGCAAAAGGCUCAUUCACACCAAUAAUCGUGUCACAGUGUGCCUGGGUUCCUGAAGGCCCAAGACCCAGAAGAAAAUGAAGAAUGAAAAAGCAGGAUGGGACUGACCAGACUGAGAAAACUGAGAGGCCGGGAGCGGCUGGAGAAGGGGACAUAACAGUGAAGAUGAGCCCAAGCUCCACCAUCCAGAGAGAGAAAGCUACGUGAGGAGACUGCUCGUGUUCAUGGGAUGCUGUUACUGGACAUUAUUGCUAUUCUUUGCAACUUUAGUAGAACAAAAGGAUGGCGUUAAGCGCCCCAGAGCUGGGAUGGACCAGCACAGCGUACGGUACAAGACAAGAAUCGCCACCAGAUACAUGCCAGGAAAGAUCUUGCCACAAUUGUUUGUUUUUAUGCUACCACAGAACUCCGUGAUUUUUGCUAAUACAGCACCUUUUGGGGGGAUUAAUUUAUGAGAACUAAACCUGAGCAUGUUUAAUGAUAUGAA
Long non-coding RNA from Varanus komodoensis (Komodo dragon), 1809 nucleotides. RefSeq lists it as uncharacterized. Lineage: Eukaryota; Metazoa; Chordata; Lepidosauria; Squamata; Varanidae. The record is from RefSeq and is a predicted model, not a curated record. The transcript has 3 exons.